GAUGAACGCUGGCGGCGUGCCUAAUACAUGCAAGUCGAGCGAACGGACGAGAAGCUUGCUUCUCUGAUGUUAGCGGCGGACGGGUGAGUAACACGUGGAUAACCUACCUAUAAGACUGGGAUAACUUCGGGAAACCGUAGCUAAUACCGGAUAAUAUUUUGAACCGCAUGGUUCAAAAGUGAAAGACGGUCUUGCUGUCACUUAUAGAUGGAUCCGCGCUGCAUUAGCUAGUUGGUAAGGUAACGGCUUACCAAGGCAACGAUGCAUAGCCGACCUGAGAGGGGGACGGGCCAACCUGGAACUGAGACACGGUCCAAACCCCCACGGGAGGAAGCAGUAGGGAAUUUUCCGAAAUGGGGGAAACCCGGACGGAGCAACCCCGGGUGAGUGAUGAAGGCUUUGGGAUGUAAAAACCCUUUUAUUGGGUAAAAAAAUAUGUGAAAGUAACUGUGCACAUUUUGACGGUACCUAAUCAGAAAGCCACGGCUAACUACGU
Molecule: ribosomal RNA, 496 nt
Filed under: uncultured bacterium
Lineage: Bacteria
Description: partial 16S ribosomal RNA
Rfam family: Bacterial small subunit ribosomal RNA
Source: RNAcentral